This 253-nucleotide ribosomal RNA is filed under the name uncultured bacterium. Its description in RNAcentral is "partial 16S ribosomal RNA". It matches the Rfam family "Bacterial small subunit ribosomal RNA", at positions 524 to 776 of the family's 1533-position model. The record is from RNAcentral.
UACGGGGGGAGCAAGCGUUGUUCGGAAUUACUGGGCGUAAAGGGCGCGUAGGCGGCCUGUUAAGUCGAACGUGAAAUCCCCGGGCUCAACCCGGGAACUGCGUCCGAUACUGGCAGGCUUGAAUCCGGGAGAGGGAUGUGGAAUUCCAGGUGUAGCGGUGAAAUGCGUAGAUAUCUGGAGGAACACCGGUGGCGAAGGCGGCAUCCUGGACCGGUAUUGACGCUGAGGCGCGAAAGCCAGGGGAGCAAACGGG